UGGGGAAUAUUGGACAAUGGGCGCAAGCCUGAUCCAGCCAUACCGCGUGGGUGAAGAAGGCCUUCGGGUUGUAAAGCCCUUUUGUUGGGAAAGAAAAGCAGCUGGUUAAUACCCGGUUGUUCUGACGGUACCCAAAGAAUAAGCACCGGCUAACUUCGUGCCAGCAGCCGCGGUAAUACGAAGGGUGCAAGCGUUACUCGGAAUUACUGGGCGUAAAGCGUGCGUAGGUGGUUGUUUAAGUCUGUCGUGAAAGCCCUGGGCUCAACCUGGGAAUUGCGAUGGAAACUGGGCGACUAGAGUGUGGCAGAGGAUAGUGGAAUUCCUGGUGUAGCAGUGAAAUGCGUAGAGAUCAGGAGGAACAUCCGUGGCGAAGGCGACGGUCUGGGCCAACACUGACACUGAGGCACGAAAGCGUGGGGAGCAAACAGG
RNAcentral lists this ribosomal RNA (429 nucleotides) under Acidobacteriota bacterium. Its description in RNAcentral is "Acidobacteria bacterium partial 16S ribosomal RNA". It matches the Rfam family "Bacterial small subunit ribosomal RNA", at positions 355 to 776 of the family's 1533-position model. Lineage: Bacteria; Pseudomonadati; Acidobacteriota. The record is from RNAcentral.